Molecule: small nuclear RNA, 127 nt
Filed under: Acanthisitta chloris (rifleman)
Lineage: Eukaryota; Metazoa; Chordata; Aves; Passeriformes; Acanthisittidae
Description: U2 spliceosomal RNA
Rfam family: U2 spliceosomal RNA
About the family: U2 is a small nuclear RNA (snRNA) component of the spliceosome (involved in pre-mRNA splicing). Complementary binding between U2 snRNA (in an area lying towards the 5' end but 3' to hairpin I) and the branchpoint sequence (BPS) of the intron results the bulging out of an unpaired adenosine, on the BPS, which initiates a nucleophilic attack at the intronic 5' splice site, thus starting the first of two transesterification reactions that mediate splicing.
Source: Rfam by way of RNAcentral
AUCUCUUCUUGGCCUUUUGGGUGAGAUCAAGUAUAGUAUCUGUUUUUAUCACUUUAAUAUCUGAUACAUCCUCAAUGAGAGGACUUUAUAUUAAGCACUUUUUUUGGCUGUGGAAGUUGGAAUCUAA